Molecule: non-coding RNA, 420 nt
Organism: Gallionellales bacterium GWE2_58_10
Lineage: Bacteria; Pseudomonadati; Pseudomonadota; Betaproteobacteria; Nitrosomonadales
Source: Rfam
GAAGCUGGCCAGACAGUCGCCGCGCCCGCAAGGGCGGGGAGGAAAGUCCGGGCUCCGCAGAGCAGGAUGCCGGUUAACGGCCGGACGCCGUGAGGCGAUGGAAAGUGCCACAGAAAAUACACCGCCGAUGGCCCGACUUCGCCGCCCGCAAGGGCGGCAAAGUCAUCUCAAGAAGAGCAGGGGCGAAAGCUCCUGCGAAUAUUGAGAAGGGAUCAGGCAAGGUUGAAAUGGCGAGGUAAGAGCUCACCGCGCCGGUGGCAACAUCGGCGGCAGGGUAAACCCCAUCCGGAGCAAGACCAAAUAGGCAGGCCAUGACGUUGCUCGCGUCGCCUGCGGGUAGGUUGCUUGAGCGUCAGGUAACGAAACGCCUAGAGGAAUGACUGUCCACGACAGAACCCGGCUUACCGGCCAGCUUCACUU